CUACGGGCGGCACCAGUGAGGAAUAUUGCACAAUGGGGGGAACCCUGAUGCAGCAACGCCGCGUGGAGGAUGACGCAUUUCGGUGUGUAAACUCCUUUUAUAUGUCAAGAAAAUGACGGUAGCAUAUGAAUAAGCACCGGCUAACUCCGUGCCAGCAGCCGCGGUAAUACGGAGGGUGCAAGCGUUACUCGGAAUCACUGGGCGUAAAGGACGCGUAGGCGGGUUGGAAAGUCAGGUGUGAAGUCCUACAGCUUAACUGUAGAACUGCACUUGAAACUUCUAAUCUAGAGUAUGGGAGGGGGAGAUGGAAUUAGUGGUGUAGGGGUAAUAUCCGUAGAUAUCACUAGGAAUACCUAAAGCGAAGGCGAUCUCCUGGAACAUUACUGACGCUAAGGCGUGAAAGCGUGGGGAGCAAACAGGAUUAGAUACCCCCGUAGUC
This 439-nucleotide ribosomal RNA is filed under the name uncultured bacterium. RNAcentral describes it as "partial 16S ribosomal RNA". It matches the Rfam family "Bacterial small subunit ribosomal RNA", at positions 339 to 795 of the family's 1533-position model. The record is from RNAcentral.